Helianthus annuus (common sunflower) is the source of this 507-nucleotide long non-coding RNA. RefSeq lists it as uncharacterized. The record is from RefSeq and is a predicted model, not a curated record. The transcript has 3 exons. Lineage: Eukaryota; Viridiplantae; Streptophyta; Magnoliopsida; Asterales; Asteraceae.
GUUCUCUGCGAUCAAACAAGGCAAAAGGAAGGGGGAAACCCUAGUUCAAAGAAUCAAGUGAAUCAAUCCAAAUUCAUGAGCCAAUCUGAUGCAUGUUCCCUAAAUUGUGAUUAGCUAACCCUAAUCUCUUAAGUGGCGUAAAAGAAGAAGGUACAAGCACUAAGCAAGCGGAAGGAGUACAAGAUCGAGGUAAAGCACCUCUAUAGGCGAUUUGGAGAUAUGGGACGAGCACAUGUUCAAGCCUUAUGAUACCAAGCGCUUCCGCAACUUAUAUGCAUGCUUUUGGGUCGUGUUUGUUACUUGUUAAACUUUGUUGAAAUGUUUUAGAAUUGAAAACUUGUCGUUUUUGUUGGGAUGGUUUUAUGUAAAAUGGGUCGUAUUGUAAACGUUGUAAGUUAUGUCAAAACAGGGGGUAUGCUCGUUUUACAAACGGGUCAUGCCCAAAUUUUGUAAAAAUUUUCUAUUAAGUGUCAAAAUUGUAUUUCAAUGUCCGAAAGAUCUUGCUUA